GGUGGAGGCAGCAGCGCUCGCUUCUCCGGCUGUCCAUUGAUCAGUGGAGAGGUUGGUAUAGACUUAAAAGAUCAGUGGAGAGACUGGUGGAGAGCAGAGAGAGAGGGAUGGAGAGGAUGGAGGAGGAUACUGGGGAUGCAGCAAGAAAAGAGUGUGUGGAGAGACAGAAUCCGAGAGGCAGAUCACGGCGUCUGUCCUGGGGUUUAACAGCCUGGAUGAAGCCCGCUGGACUCCUGACAGACUUCAAACAGCAGAUGGACACUCCAGGAAAGGCGUCGGAAAGUCCUCCAUCGUCCAUCUGUGACAGUCACAAUGGUUGCGCAAAGGACGGCCAUCUUGGUUUCAGCGCAGGAGCAGAGGGAGUGUACGAAGCUUAAAGGCAAUAAGGAAGAUUGGAAGAAAAAAGGCAGUUUAGCUUCUUUGCCACAUGCACCUAAACCUUUAAAUGCUCUUUUUUAAUCUGUAAAUAUUAAUUAAUCCGAUGCUUUAAUACUACAUCUUGCAAGCAAUAUGUUUAGCUCUGUGAGGCUGUACUUACAUCCUGCAGUGCUAUGAGCGAAAUGCUAACCACAAUACUGACAUGCUUAGCAAUAAUUAAAGAUAAGAUAAAAAUAAAUUAGUCCCUGUGGGGAAAUGUAGGUUUAUCUUUUUAGUUCAACUCAUCAGCAAGCUAACAAUUGCUUAUAAGCACCUAAACAUAAACUGUAGCUGAGAACAACACAAGCUGUAGGUAAGAUCAAUGCAUCAGCAUGCUAAUGUUUACUAAUAGCACCAAAUAGUAUUUUUAGCAGUUUAACUGAAGCCAUGAAGAGCUUAUCGACUGCAAAAUACUUUUAAAUUGUUUUAACGACCAUCAUUUACAGCUGUGUUUUCCAACAUAUUUGGCUGGUGAGCACUUAUAAUAAAGUAAUCUACUGGACAGUGUCACAUAUUUGGCAAAACAUGUAUGGGUCAAAGUGCAAGUGGGAAAGGGGCUUGUCAACUGGGUAGCUAGCAAUCUUCCUCUUCUUAUGUCAAAGACUGUUUAUGGUUAAAUAAACACCUAUUUGACGUUUUUUGUAUCUAAACUAUAUAUUAAAAUCCACAUCCUCACCUGCAUCAAUAGCCAACACUGCUGACACCUGGGGGACCAGCUUGCUUGUCAUAUUCCAGGAAGAGGAACUGUUUAAUUUCGGACCAAUUGCUGUUAUGAUUUGACUUUCCCCCCACGAUAUCAUCACUUUUAAACUCGGGUAUGUGUGUUGGAUGUAAUGUUUAGCGGUCACUUAAUAGUAACCACAUGUGUGUCAAGUGUCGUUCUAAAACAACGAGGAUGGAGGGAGAGCGAGGGGUAGCGGGUUAUGAAGCCCGCCAACAGCGAGUCUCCAUCGGUCCUGAAUUCACCUGCUGCUGCCCUACCUGACCGGACUCAACGCUGUGUGUGUCCGUCAGGAAACACGCUGUUUACAAAUAGUUCCGUGUAAACAUUUACUGAUAAACCGCACAACAAGAUAGACAUUUAAUAUCGACAUUGUAGUGCCGAGAGACGGGAGUCGGAGUGAAUUAUGUCAAUCAGUGAUCACUUCAACAUACAGAUGUAAUUUAAAUAACUUCAAUGUUACCUCGUAUUUUUUAACUUCAUAUACCCGUGUUUUAUCUAGAUAACGAUAAAUGUGUGCAAUUUAUUAUAACGUUUUGUAUGGUUACAGGGACUGUUGCAAAUCUAAGCAGCUAAUUAACAUCAUAUUAUUAUUAUUUUUAAAGAAACGCCAUUAAAUAUGUUUUUCACUCACGGAGGGGGAAUGGGUAGGGUGUGGUUUGGAAUUGGCCCGAAGUGUUUCUCUUCUAAACUUGCUGUCUUGAAUGAUAUGUACCUGCCAGGUGGCCAUUUUGGCUCCGUGUGGUCACAGGGUGCCCAGCAGUUGCUCAGUAGUCAGUGUAGAUCCUGCGGGGCUGGCAGCAGCUACAUCUGGCUACUGGGUCUCUGCUGGCAUCCAUCACAUCCACUGUUUAUUAAUGCAUUCUGUAAAGACAUGAGUGUUUUUCAUGUAUUUCAGACACUUCGGCUUUUGAUUUCCACAGAAAUGUGUUGCAUGUGAAGACUGCAUAUGAAGAAAUGUUAUUAUGAAUAUAUAUUAAAAUGACAUUUUGAGACACUGGGUGAGGUUUGAACCUGGCAUACAGUGUAGGAUGCUGUGUGUGUCAGUCUACAGCUACAUUGUCUGCUGGGUUUCAUACCUUUACUCAUAAACAUCGAUGUUUUACAAGUGUUUGUAUUGCUUAUGUACUGUAAAUGAUACCAAAUGAUCAUGUUAAAGUAUUGUGUUGUGUUUGAGGAACCAAAAAACACGGAUAAUUUGACAACUUUGUGUUUAUUGACUCAUCAUAAAACAUUCUUCAAACAAUAAAACAAUUUUAAAUGUC
This is a long non-coding RNA of Gymnodraco acuticeps, 2403 nucleotides long. RefSeq lists it as uncharacterized. The record is from RefSeq and is a predicted model, not a curated record. Lineage: Eukaryota; Metazoa; Chordata; Actinopteri; Perciformes; Bathydraconidae. The transcript is spliced from 2 exons.